AUGAACGCUGGCGGCGUGCCUAACACAUGCAAGUCGAGCGAGAUGUAUAUGGACGAAACUUCGGUCUAGGAAAUAUAUUGACAGCGGCGGACGGGUGAGUAACGCGUAGGCAACCUGCCCUUAACACAGGGAUAGCCUCGGGAAACCGGGAUUAAAACCUGAUAAUGCCAAAUAGUCACAUGGCUGUUUGGCCAAAGAUUUAUCGGUUAAGGAUGGGCCUGCGUCUGAUUAGUUUGUUGGUGGGGUAACGGCCUACCAAGACUACGAUCAGUAGCCGACCUGAGAGGGUGAUCGGCCACAUUGGAACUGAGACACGGUCCAAACUCCUACGGGAGGCAGCAGUGGGGAAUAUUGCACAAUGGGCGAAAGCCUGAUGCAGCAACGCCGCGUGAGCGAUGAAGGCCUUUGGGUCGUAAAGCUCUGUCCUUGGGGAAGAAAAAAAUGACGGUACCCAAGGAGGAAGCCCCGGCUAACUACGU
RNAcentral lists this ribosomal RNA (479 nucleotides) under uncultured bacterium. RNAcentral describes it as "bacterial SSU rRNA". It matches the Rfam family "Bacterial small subunit ribosomal RNA", at positions 29 to 506 of the family's 1533-position model. The record is from RNAcentral.